UCGGGUAAUAGCGCAGUUGGUAGCGCGCCUGGUUCGGGACUAGGAGGUCCCCGGUUCGAAUCCGGGUUGCCCGAG
Molecule: transfer RNA, 75 nt
Filed under: Spirochaetia bacterium
Lineage: Bacteria; Pseudomonadati; Spirochaetota; Spirochaetia
Description: tRNA-Pro
Rfam family: tRNA
About the family: Transfer RNA (tRNA) molecules are approximately 80 nucleotides in length.
Source: RNAcentral